Molecule: ribosomal RNA, 564 nt
Filed under: uncultured archaeon
Lineage: Archaea
Description: bacterial SSU rRNA
Rfam family: Archaeal small subunit ribosomal RNA
Source: RNAcentral
GAUUCGCCCUUCGGGGUGCACCAGGCGCGAAAACUCUACAAUGCAGGCAACUGCGAUAGGGGAACAUCGAGUGAUCCUCAUAUUGGGGGUCUGUCCACUCGCCUAAAAAGCGGGUGUUAGCAAGGGCCGGGCAAGACCGGUGCCAGCCGCCGCGGUAAUACCGGCGGCUCGAGUGGUGGCCGAUAUUAUUGAGUCUAAAGGGUCCGUAGCCGGCUUUGCAAGUCUCUCGGGAAAUCCAGCGGCUUAACCGUUGGUCGUCCGGGGGGUACUACAUUGCUUGGGACUGGGAGAGGUAGGAGGUACUCAGGGGGUAGGAGUGAAAUCCUGUAAUCCUUUGGGGACCACCGGUGGCGAAGGCGUCCUACCAGAACAGGUCCGACGGUGAGGGACGAAAGCUAGGGGCACGAACCGGAUUAGAUACCCGGGUAGUCCUAGCCGUAAACGAUGCUCGCUAGGUGUCACAACAGUCGUGAACUGUUGUGGUGCCGUAGGGAAGCCGUGAAGCGAGCCACUUGGGAAGUACGACCGCAAGGUUGAAACUUAAAGGAAUUGGCGGGGGAGCAC